Molecule: transfer RNA, 73 nt
Filed under: subsurface metagenome
Description: tRNA-Ala
Rfam family: tRNA
About the family: Transfer RNA (tRNA) molecules are approximately 80 nucleotides in length.
Source: RNAcentral
GGGGGUGUGGCUCAGCUGGGAGAGCGCUUGCUUCGCAUGCAAGAGGUCGGCGGUUCGAUCCCGCUCACCUCCA